AUGUAAACUACCAUCACCUAUUAACAAUGGAAAAAUAGAUUAUCAAAGUGCUACAGACAAUGAAGUACCAGAAGGAUUUAUUUUAACAUUCAGUUGUGAUAGACUAUAUCAUUUAAUUGGUAAUAAAACUAUAAGAUGUCUUGAAAGUGGUAAUUGGAAUAGUUUACCUCCAAAAUGUAUAAAAGUAACAGCCUGUGAAGAACCACCUAAACCAGCUCAUGGUAUAAAAGAGAUAUCAUACUCUCAAUCUGUUGCUAUUAGUAGAAUUGCAGUUAUAAAUUCUGAUUUAGCAACAGAUCUUCCUCCAACACAUCUUUCAGAGCCUAAGAAUAGCAAUACAGAAGAUGCAUUACCUGCUGGAUUGUAUAAAGUUGGUACUCGUGUUAAAUACAGUUGUGAAUCUAGAUAUUAUCAAUUAGUUGGAUCACAAUCUCGAAGAUGUACAAAAGAUGGCACUUGGACUGGAAGGAUAGCAUCAUGUAUUCCAG
Centruroides sculpturatus (bark scorpion) is the source of this 488-nucleotide long non-coding RNA. RefSeq lists it as uncharacterized. Lineage: Eukaryota; Metazoa; Arthropoda; Arachnida; Scorpiones; Buthidae. The transcript is spliced from 3 exons. The record is from RefSeq and is a predicted model, not a curated record.